GAAAACGACUGCUAAGACUGGAUAGGAAAUUAGAAGGCAUCUUUUAAUUUUUAAAAGACCUUUUUCGAAAGGUAUACUUAAAGAGGGGCUUGCGGCACAUUAGUUAGUUGGUAGGGUAAAAGCCUACCAAGACUAUGAUGUGUAGCUGGACUGAGAGGUUGAACAGCCACAUUGGGACUGAGACACGGCCCAAACUCCUACGGGAGGCAGCAGUAGGGAAUUUUCGGCAAUGGAGGAAACUCUGACCGAGCAACGCCGCGUGAACGAUGAAGUAUUUCGGUAUGUAAAGUUCUUUUAUUGAAGAAGAAAAAAUAGUGGAAAAACUAUCUUGACGAUAUUCAAUGAAUAAGCCCCGGCAAACUAUGUGCCAGCAGCCGCGGUAAUACAUAGGGGGCGAGCGUUAUCCGGAAUUAUUGGGCGUAAAGGGUGCGUAGGCGGUUUGGUAAGUCUAUAGUUUAAUUUCAGUGCUUAACACUGUUCUGCUAUAGAAACUAUCAGACUAGAGUGAGAUAGAGGCAAGUGGAAUUCCAUGUGUAGCGGUAAAAUGCGUAAAUAUAUGGAGGAACACCAGAGGCGUAGGCGGCUUGCUGGGUCUUUACUGACGCUGAGGCACGAAAGCGUGGGGAGCAAACAGGAUUAGAUACCCUGGUAGUCCACGCCGUAAACGAUGAGUACUAAGUGUCGGGGAAACUCGGUACUGAAGUUAACACAUUAAGUACUCCGCCUGAGUAGUACGUACGCAAGUAUGAAACUUAAAGGAAUUGACGGGACUCCGCACAAGCGGUGGAUCAUGUUGUUUAAUUCGAAGAUACACGAAAAACCUUACCAGGUCUUGACAUACUCUGCAAAGCUAUAGCAAUAUAGUGGAGGUUAUCAGGGAUACAGGUGGUGCAUGGUUGUCGUCAGCUCGUGUCGUGAGAUGUUAGGUUAAGUCCUAAAACGAGCGCAACCCUUGUCACUAGUUGCCAGCAUGUUAUGAUGGGCACUUUAGUGAGACUGCCAAUGAAAAAUUGGAGGAAGGUGAGGAUCACGUCAAAUCAUCAUGCCCCUUAUGAUCUGGGCUACAAACGUGAUACAAUGGCUGUUACAAAGAGUAGCUAAAACGCGAGUUUAUAGCCAAUCUCAUAAAAGCAGUCUCAGUUCGGAUUGAAGUCUGCAACUCGACUUCGUGAAGUUGGAAUCGCUAGUAAUCGCGAAUCAGCAUGUCGCGGUGAAUACGUUCUCGGGGUUUGUACACACCGCCCGUCA
RNAcentral lists this ribosomal RNA (1248 nucleotides) under Candidatus Phytoplasma cynodontis. Its description in RNAcentral is "bacterial SSU rRNA". It matches the Rfam family "Bacterial small subunit ribosomal RNA", at positions 152 to 1399 of the family's 1533-position model. Lineage: Bacteria; Bacillati; Mycoplasmatota; Mollicutes; Acholeplasmatales; Acholeplasmataceae. The record is from RNAcentral.